This is a long non-coding RNA of Topomyia yanbarensis, 1351 nucleotides long. RefSeq lists it as uncharacterized. The transcript has 3 exons. Lineage: Eukaryota; Metazoa; Arthropoda; Insecta; Diptera; Culicidae. The record is from RefSeq and is a predicted model, not a curated record.
UUUCUCUCAUCAUAGUUGAUCAAACGGUCGCAACUUUUUCAUAGUCUCUAAUGUUUAUCGCCUGGUUUUCACCGGAAAAGUCGGUUCCCACAAGUUCUCUCCUCGUGUUGAAGACCUACUCCUGCUAGUUUUUCGGUUUCUAGUGUACUAACUAUAACCUUAGUGUUUAGUGCCGCUGUCGUCCCGUGAAGUUAGCGAGCAAAGUGUCGGCUAGGCAGACCGAGUAGGUCUCUGGAUGUGAAGCAGCAACAGCAGGGUAAAAAGGUUCGCGAACAACCGUGAAAAAUCCUCCCUUUCUGCGAGUUGUGAAUCGAAACUGAUAAGGCUGAAUGAAGUUUUGCCUGUCGUUCGGUCGAAGUAGGCAGUCCUGAUCGUAGGAAAAAGUGAGAUUUUCAGGGAGAGUUGUGUAACUAAAUUUUUGCUUCGAUGCGAGCUUGGACCACAGAUUUAAUCAGAUUUUAGUGUGUUUCUUGCCACGGUUUGGUUGAAAAAUACUGUGCUAGCAACAGUGGAGGAAAAAUUUUCGGAUGAGUGCAAAUUUGUAGCAGAAGCAGUAUCCUCAGGCAUCAUGAUAAGAAGCUGGAGCGGUGGCACCCCUCCGUGGGGCAGUGUGCAGCAAACCUGAAAACGGAAGGGAGACCCGCUUCGUCCCAUUUUGUGAGGACGGAAAGUGCAGUUUGACUUGUGACGGAUAGAUUGAGCAGUUUUCAAAAUGUAAUAAAAACCAAUCCGGUGGAAUCGUGGAAGUGAAGCAAUAUUAAGGUAAAGGUUUGUGAAAAAUAGAGAAAACGGUCGUGUGAAUUGAAUGAAACAGAAAAGUGUAAAAAAUAGUCAAACAGUGGAGAAAAAAGGACCGUUCUAGAAGAGAGUGAAGUGACGUGCCAUUUUUUCGGUCUGCUUUGUGAGAUAUAAGUCGAAGAGGACGUGAAGUGUGAAGCGAUAGUGAGGGAUUUUGGACUCCGAAUCGGAUAACUGCUCAGCUCGUUUGAUGGCCAAGGAAAUCGAAAACGAUUAAGUGACAGGUGUGCGUUGCAGUUUGCGUAGAAGUUUCACUGAAGGGCAGUUUAUGUAAUAUAUGCUAGUGUAAAUGAAAAGUGCAUCAACUUCUCAACAACCAAAACCAUCGAAGUGUGCGAGUUCUGAAAACGAAGAAAGGUUCGAUAGGCGUGAAGCAUUAUUUUUUCUCUACAGACUUCCUACCACCAUGGCAGGCGAUAAUGGAUAACUCAAUGGAUUCAAGAUUCCAAAAGGUAAAACAAACCACAAUGCAAAUUAUUCGCUUGAAAGUAACUGAUUUUAAUAGUGAUGACAUCAACGGUGAGUUCAGGUAUGGAAAUGUAAGAACAUAGAC